This 468-nucleotide ribosomal RNA is filed under the name uncultured bacterium. RNAcentral's name for it is "partial 16S ribosomal RNA". It matches the Rfam family "Bacterial small subunit ribosomal RNA", at positions 31 to 507 of the family's 1533-position model. The record is from RNAcentral.
GAGGAAAGUGGGAGGCGUGCUUAACACAUGCAAGUCGAACGGAAAGGCCCUGCUUUUGUGGGGUGCUCGAGUGGCGAACGGGUGAGUAACACGUGAGUAACCUGCCCUUGACUUUGGGAUAACUUCAGGAAACUGGGGCUAAUACCGGAUAGGAGCUCCUGCUGCAUGGUGGGGGUUGGAAAGUUUCGGCGGUUGGGGAUGGACUCGCGGCUUAUCAGCUUGUUGGUGGGGUAGUGGCUUACCAAGGCUUUGACGGGUAGCCGGCCUGAGAGGGUGACCGGCCACAUUGGGACUGAGAUACGGCCCAGACUCCUACGGGAGGCAGCAGUGGGGAAUAUUGCACAAUGGGCGGAAGCCUGAUGCAGCAACGCCGCGUGCGGGAUGACGGCCUUCGGGGUGUAAACCGCUUUCGCCUGUGACGAAGCGUGAGUGACGGUAAUGGGUAAAGAAGCACCGGCUAACUACGUG